GAUGAACGCUGGCGGCGUGCCUAAUACAUGCAAGUCGAGCGAACAGACGAGGAGCUUGCUCCUCUGACGUUAGCGGCGGACGGGUGAGUAACACGUGGAUAACCUACCUAUAAGACUGGGAUAACUUCGGGAAACCGGAGCUAAUACCGGAUAAUAUAUUGAACCGCAUGGAUCAAUAGUGAAAGACGGUUUUGCUGUCACUUAGAGAUGGAUCCGCGCCGCAUUAGCUAGUUGGUAAGGUAACGGCUUACCAAGGCAACGAUGCGUAGCCGACCUGAGAGGGUGAUCGGCCACACUGGAACUGAGACACGGUCCAGACUCCUACGGGAGGCAGCAGUAGGGAAUCUUCCGCAAUGGGCGAAAGCCUGACGGAGCAACGCCGCGUGAGUGAUGAAGGUCUUCGGAUCGUAAAACUCUGUUAUUAGGGAAGAACAAAUGUGUAAGUAACUAUGCACGUCUUGACGGUACCUAAUCAGAAAGCCACGGCUAACUACGUG
This 497-nucleotide ribosomal RNA is filed under the name uncultured bacterium. RNAcentral describes it as "partial 16S ribosomal RNA". It matches the Rfam family "Bacterial small subunit ribosomal RNA", at positions 28 to 507 of the family's 1533-position model. The record is from RNAcentral.